RNAcentral lists this ribosomal RNA (492 nucleotides) under uncultured bacterium. Its description in RNAcentral is "partial 16S ribosomal RNA". It matches the Rfam family "Bacterial small subunit ribosomal RNA", at positions 29 to 507 of the family's 1533-position model. The record is from RNAcentral.
AGUGAACGCUGGCGGUAGGCCUAACACAUGCAAGUCGAGCGACAGCACAGUAAGCGCUUUCUCUUACGGGUAGCGAGUGACGGACGGGUGAGAAAUACAUCGGCAUCUACUUUUUCUUGGGGAAUAUCGUGGGGAAACUUACGCUAAUACCUCAUACGACCUACGGCAUAAAUCAGUAGUUCUUCGGACCUUUCCCGAUUCAUUGAGCCGACGUCGGAUUAGCUAGUUGGCUUGGUAAAGGCUCACCAAGGCAACGAUGCGUAGCUGGUCUGAGAGGAUGAUCAGCCACACUGGAACUGAGACACGGUCCAGACUCCUACGGGAGGCAGCAGUAGGGAAUAUUCGGCAAUGGGCGGAAGCCUGAUGCAGCCACGCCGCGUGGGUGAAGAAGGUCUUCGGGUUGUAAAACUCUUUUAUUGGGGAAGAAAAAAAGUGUGUGUAACUCCCCACGUUUUGACGGUACCCAAAGAGUAAGCAACGGCUAACUUCGUG